UCUUUCUUUAUUUUCAGGACC
Non-coding RNA from Caenorhabditis elegans, 21 nucleotides. Lineage: Eukaryota; Metazoa; Nematoda; Chromadorea; Rhabditida; Rhabditidae. The record is from Ensembl.